CCUACGGGUGGCAGCAGUGGGGGAUAUUGCACAAUGGGGGAAACCCUGAUGCAGCGACGCCGCGUGAGUGAAGAAGUAUUUCGGUAUGUAAAGCUCUAUCAGCAGGGAAGAAAAUGACAGUACCUGACCAAGAAGCCCCGGCUAACUACGUGCCAGCAGCCGCGGUAAUACGUAGGGGGCAAGCGUUAUCCGGAUUUACUGGGUGUAAAGGGAGCGUAGACGGUUAUGUAAGUCUGGAGUGAAAGCCCGGGGCCCAACCCCGGGACUGCUUUGGAACUGCAGGGCUGGAGUGCGGGAGGGGCAGGCGGAAUUCCUGGUGUAGCGGUGAAAUGCGUAGAUAUCAGGAGGAACACCGGCGGCGAAGGCGGCCUGCUGGACCGCGACUGACGUUGAGGCUCGAAAGCGUGGGGAGCGAACAGGAUUAGAUACCCUGGUAGUC
Molecule: ribosomal RNA, 439 nt
Filed under: uncultured bacterium
Lineage: Bacteria
Description: partial 16S ribosomal RNA
Rfam family: Bacterial small subunit ribosomal RNA
Source: RNAcentral